UACGAAGGGUGCAAGCGUUACUCGGAAUCACUGGGCGUAAAGCGUGCGUAGGUGGUUUUUUAAGUCUGUGGUGAAAGCCCCGGGCUUAACCUGGGAAUGGCCAUGGAAACUGGCGAGCUGGAGUGUGGCAGAGGGGGGUGGAAUUCCGCGUGUAGCAGUGAAAUGCGUAGAGAUGCGGAGGAACACCGAUGGCGAAGGCAGCCCCCUGGGCUAACACUGACGCUGAGGCACGAAAGCGUGGGGAGCAAACAGG
This 253-nucleotide ribosomal RNA is filed under the name uncultured bacterium. Its description in RNAcentral is "partial 16S ribosomal RNA". It matches the Rfam family "Bacterial small subunit ribosomal RNA", at positions 524 to 776 of the family's 1533-position model. The record is from RNAcentral.